GCCGGGCAUGGUGGCGGGUGCCUGUAAUCCCAGCUACGCGGGAGGCUGAGGCAUGAGAAUCACUUGAACCCAGAGGCAGAGGUUGCAGUGAGCUGAGAUCGUCCCACUGCACUUCUGCCUGGGUGACAGAGUGAGAUUCCGUCUCAA
This 147-nucleotide non-coding RNA is filed under the name Nomascus leucogenys (northern white-cheeked gibbon). Lineage: Eukaryota; Metazoa; Chordata; Mammalia; Primates; Hylobatidae. The record is from Rfam by way of RNAcentral.